AUUAGAUAAAAAACCAACGCCCUUCGGGGCUCCUUGGUGAAUCAUAAUAACUUAACGAAUCGCAUGGCCUUGCGCCGGCGAUGGUUCAUUCAAAUUUCUGCCCUAUCAACUUUCGAUGGUAGGAUAGUGGCCUACCAUGGUGGCAACGGGUAACGGGGAAUUAGGGUUCGAUUCCGGAGAGGGAGCCUGAGAAACGGCUACCACAUCCAAGGAAGGCAGCAGGCGCGCAAAUUACCCAAUCCCGAUACGGGGAGGUAGUGACAAUAAAUACUGAUACGGGGCUCUUUUGGGUCUCGUAAUUGGAAUGAGAACAAUUUAAAUCCCUUAACGAGGAACAAUUGGAGGGCAAGUCUGGUGCCAGCAGCCGCGGUAAUUCCAGCUCCAAUAGCGUGUAUUAAAGUUGUUGCAGUUAAAAAGCUCGUAGUUGAACCUUGGCUCUGGCUGGCCGGUCCGCCUCACCGCGAGUACUGGUCCGGCUGGAGCUUUCCUUCUGGGGAAUCUCAUGGCCUUCACUGG
This 516-nucleotide ribosomal RNA is filed under the name uncultured fungus. RNAcentral's name for it is "SSU rRNA". It matches the Rfam family "Eukaryotic small subunit ribosomal RNA", at positions 209 to 725 of the family's 1831-position model. The record is from RNAcentral. Lineage: Eukaryota; Fungi.